RNA transcript from Rosa chinensis, 1238 nucleotides. RefSeq lists it as uncharacterized. Lineage: Eukaryota; Viridiplantae; Streptophyta; Magnoliopsida; Rosales; Rosaceae. The record is from RefSeq and is a predicted model, not a curated record. The transcript is spliced from 10 exons.
GAAUUUUACUCUAUUCCCCUGCCACCUGUUGAUGUGCUAAGCUGACAGACAGUAGAGUUGUUGCAUGCCCUUCUUUCUCUACGCAAAAGAGAGAGCUUAUUUGCCUCGCAAAAAGAGGGGGAGAGAAUUGGGUCUACUUCGUUGAGGAGAGACACAGUACAACUCACUUCGAUUUAAGAGGUAUUUUGAUUGAUUUCUCAGGUUUGAGCCUUUAUGCAGCUGUAAUUUUUUGUUUGAUGUUUUAAGAUUUGGGCUUCUGGAGGAUACGCCAUCAAACAGAUGGUGCUGGGAGUCGGAAUGAAAGUGAUCGGAAAGGGCUAGGUUCUCCAGUGAGGAGCCACUAGCAAUCUACUCCAGAAGCAAGGUAAUUCUCUUUGAUACCUGCUCUUUCUGCAAUGUACAACGGGACUACCAAUUGAGACAAGCACUACCGUUUUUACCCCUCUGUUUUCUGGACUUCUGCAUUGUUGCCCCCGAUAGGUGUCGCAGCCUGCAACUGUUGCAUGUUUUGAUUACAUCUACGUGUUUGCUCUGGAAAAUGGACAUCUGCUUCUUUGUUCUACGAGAGAGAGAGAGAGAGAGAGAGAGAGAGAGAGAGAGAGAGAGAGAGAGAGAGAGAGAGAGAGAGAGAGAGAGAGAGGGGUGGAGAAAGGGAAUGGGUUCUGCUUCCGCAUCUAGGCCGAUUGAGGGUUAAGGGACUCAUCCAAUUCGCCAUAGCAUCAUGUUAUCAAAAUGAACAUGAACUAAGAAUCAGCGAAUAUGGAAGAGGAGGGAUUUACUUGAUGUCCUGCAAACAUUGGUGUUACGCCAAUUUGCAGAGAAGAGUGUGCAGGCUUGCGAUCGCGGUUGAGGUCCAAAGACCAAGUCUCCUGCAGGUGUUUAGAGAGGUACAGGUAGGAACAUUCCAACAAAAAAUUGGACGCUGCUGUUGGCAAAACUGGUGGUGAGAAAUGACAAUCGUUGUCUGAUGUUGUAAAAAUUAUGUAGGAGAAAGAACCCUACUAGGCGAAGGCAGAGAAGAGGAAGGUUGAAUACAACGAGAACAUGGAUGUGUACGACAAGAAACAAGCAAGUGUUUCUGUUUUAAUUGUUAAUCUCCAGCAAAUCUGAUAUAACUCCCCUAGGUCCACUCCUUGACAAGACUGAACUUUAUUUCACCAAGAAUCAAUGACAAGAUGGACCUAUUUGAAGAGAAGCAACCUGUUGGUUAGAUGAUAGCAACAAUUGUGCAUUCAACC